GACGAAGGGGGCUAGCGUUGUUCGGAAUUACUGGGCGUAAAGCGAGUGUAGGUGGUUGUCCAAGUUGGAUGUGAAAGCCUUGAGCUCAACUCAAGAAAUGCAUUCAGGACUGGGCGGCUAGAGGACCGGAGAGGAUAGUGGAAUUCCCAGUGUAGUGGUGAAAUACGUAGAGAUUGGGAAGAACACCAGUGGCGAAGGCGGCUCACUGGCCCGGUACUGACGCUGAGGUGCGAAAGCGUGGGGAGCAAACAGG
Molecule: ribosomal RNA, 253 nt
Filed under: uncultured bacterium
Lineage: Bacteria
Description: partial 16S ribosomal RNA
Rfam family: Bacterial small subunit ribosomal RNA
Source: RNAcentral